RNAcentral lists this ribosomal RNA (552 nucleotides) under uncultured bacterium. RNAcentral's name for it is "partial 16S ribosomal RNA". It matches the Rfam family "Bacterial small subunit ribosomal RNA", at positions 355 to 902 of the family's 1533-position model. The record is from RNAcentral.
UGGGGAAUUUUGGACAAUGGGCGAAAGCCUGAUCCAGCAAUGCCGCGUGUGUGAAGAAGGCCUUCGGGUUGUAAAGCACUUUUGUCCGGAAAGAAAUCCUUGGCUCUAAUACAGUCGGGGGAUGACGGUACCGGAAGAAUAAGCACCGGCUAACUACGUGCCAGCAGCCGCGGUAAUACGUAGGGUGCAAGCGUUAAUCGGAAUUACUGGGCGUAAAGCGUGCGCAGGCGGUUUGCUAAGACCGAUGUGAAAUCCCGGGCUCAACCUGGGAACUGCAUUGGUGACUGGCAGGCUAGAGUAUGGCAGAGGGGGGUAGAAUUCCACGUGUAGCAGUGAAAUGCGUAGAGAUGUGGAGGAAUACCGAUGGCGAAGGCAGCCCCUGGGCCAAUACUGACGCUCAUGCACGAAAGCGUGGGGAGCAAACAGGAUUAGAUACCCUGGUAGUCCACGCCCUAAACGAUGUCAACUAGUUGUUGGGGAUUCAUUUCCUUAGUAACGUAGCUAACGCGUGAAGUUGACCGCCUGGGGAGUACGGUCGCAAGAUUAAAACUC